GCAGUCGUACGAGAAAGUCCGCUUCGGUGGAUGAGUAAAGUGGCGCACGGGUGAGUAACGCGUGGAUAAUCUACCCUUUAGUCUGGAAUAACUUAUCGAAAGGUGAACUAAUACCGGAUAAUAUCCCGAUUUCUUCGGCGAUCGGGAUCAAAGAAGGCCUCUGCUUGCAAGCUUUCACUGAAGGAUGAGUCCGCGUACCAUUAGCUAGUUGGCAGGGUAAUGGCCUACCAAGGUUAUGAUGGUUAGCUGGUCUGAGAGGAUGAUCAGCCACACUGGAACUGAAACACGGUCCAGACUCCUACGGGAGGCAGCAGUGAGGAAUAUUGCGCAAUGGGGGCAACCCUGACGCAGCAACGCCGCGUGAGUGAGGAAGGUUUUCGGAUUGUAAAGCUCUGUCGAGCGGAAAGAAGUGCAUGGUGGUUAAUAUCCAUCAUGCUUGACGGUACCGCUAAAGGAAGCACCGGCUAACUCCGUGCCA
This 478-nucleotide ribosomal RNA is filed under the name uncultured bacterium. RNAcentral describes it as "bacterial SSU rRNA". It matches the Rfam family "Bacterial small subunit ribosomal RNA", at positions 57 to 510 of the family's 1533-position model. The record is from RNAcentral.